CCAAAGUGGUAUUUCUCUUAGGUUUUUGUCAGAAGUAAUUGGAUAAUACAUUGCAAUCAGGCUCUUGUACUCCAUUGACAAUAGAAAAUUCAUCACAGAGAUUUUCUUACUUCAUUCAGGCCUCAUUAUGCAGUUGCUUCUAAAAUAUCAGAAUACCCUUCUCAGAUCUUUUAGUGGGUGAGGUCCUUCCCAUGGUGGAAGGGUGGGUACACCCCCUUUCCAUAAGCCUGGACAUCCCUUAAAUAGUAAAACAAUAGUAAAAAAAACAUUUGUACAUUAGAUCUAUAAUUGUUGGUAUGACUAUUUUGUAUCUCAUUUGAGGGGUGAUAUGGAAAGGGAUAUAUCUCAUGUGCUUCAAGAUACACUUUAUCUUCUUUCCUGUGAAAAUUUGGGUUGGUGAUGUUCACAUGUUUCUCUGUAAUAUUUACCAUGUAUCUCAGCAGCUGAUUCUUUGAUAAAAUGUAUACUAUCUGGUUAAAAGACUUUAGAAUCCAGAACUUUUCAAAACAAAUAGCACUUGAUUGACCAAGAAAAUGGGAAACUUGCAUUUAAUAAACAGCCAUCCAAAAAUCAGAGGAUGGCAGAAAAAGGAUUUGUUCCAGUAAAACUACUAAGACAUCCAAGGGCCCUUCUACACUAAACUAAAAUCCGAGAGCAAACAGGUUAAAACAACACACUUCAUCCCGAAAACCUGGAAUACUGUGUCCAAUUUUGGGCACCACAGUUGAAGGGAGAUGUUGACAAGCUGGAAAGCAUCCAGAGGAGGGCGACUAAAAUGAUUAAGGGUCUGGAGAACAAGCCCUAUGAGGAGCAGCUUAAAGUGCUGGGCAUGUUUAGCCUGCAGAAGAGAAGGUUGAGAGGAGACAUGAUAGCCAUGAACAAAUAUGUGAGGGGAAGUCAUAGGGAGGAGGGAGCAAGCUUGCUUUCUGCUGCCCUGCAGACUAGGACACGGAACAAUGGCUUCAAACUAGAGGAAAGGAGAUCCCACCUGAACAUCAGGAAGAACUUCCUCACUGUGAGAGCUGUUCAGCAGUGGAAUCUCCUUUCCUGUAGUUUGAAGCCAUUGUUCCGUGUCCUAGUCUGCAGGGCAGCAGAAAACAAGCUUGCUCCCUCCUCCCUAUGA
Molecule: long non-coding RNA, 1123 nt
Filed under: Anolis carolinensis (green anole)
Lineage: Eukaryota; Metazoa; Chordata; Lepidosauria; Squamata; Anolidae
Description: lncRNA (ENSACAG00000041784.1)
Source: RNAcentral